GACGAACGCUGGCGGCGCGCCUCAUACAUGCAAGUCGAACGAGAUCCAUGGGAGCUUGCUCCCGGAAGAUCGAGUGGCGAACGGGUGAGUAACACGUGAGAAACCUACCCCGGAGUGGGGAAUAACCCGAGGAAACUCGGGCUAAUACCGCAUACCUUCCGAUGACCGCAUGGUCGACGGAAGAAAGAAUUUCGCUCUGGGAGGGUCUCGCGGCCUAUCAGCUUGUUGGCGGGUAACGGCCCACCAAGGCAACGACGGGUAGCUGGUUUGAGAGAACGAUCAGCCACACUGGAACUGAGACACGGUCCAGACUUCUACGGAAGGCAGCAGUGGGGAAUAUUGCGCAAUGGGCGAAAGCCUGACGCAGCGACGCCGCGUGGGGGAGGAAGGCCCUAGGGUUGUAAACCCCUGUCAGACGGGACGAACCGUAUGUCGGUUAAUACCCGGCGUGCCUGACGGUACCGUCAGAGGAAGCUCCGGCUAACUCCGUG
This 491-nucleotide ribosomal RNA is filed under the name uncultured bacterium. RNAcentral describes it as "bacterial SSU rRNA". It matches the Rfam family "Bacterial small subunit ribosomal RNA", at positions 28 to 507 of the family's 1533-position model. The record is from RNAcentral.